UACGUAGGGUGCAAGCGUUGUUCGGAAUCAUUGGGCGUAAAGCGCGUGUAGGCUGUUAGUUAAGUCAGAUGUGAAAGCCCUCGGCUCAACCGGGGAAGUGCAUUUGAAACUAACUGGCUAGAAGACGGUAGAGGAAGGUGGAAUUCCUAGUGUAGAGGUGAAAUUCGUAGAUAUUAGGAGGAAUACCUGUGGCGAAGGCGGCCUUCUGGACCGUUCUUGACGCUGAGACGCGAAAGCGUGGGUAGCAAACAGG
Molecule: ribosomal RNA, 253 nt
Filed under: uncultured bacterium
Lineage: Bacteria
Description: partial 16S ribosomal RNA
Rfam family: Bacterial small subunit ribosomal RNA
Source: RNAcentral